UACGGAAGGUGCAAGCGUUAAUCGGAAUUACUGGGCGUAAAGCGCGCGUAGGCGGCUUGGUAAGUCGGAUGUGAAAGCCCCGGGCUCAACCUGGGAACUGCAUUCGAUACUGCUGGGCUGGAGUACGAGAGAGGGGGGUGGAAUUCCAGGUGUAGCGGUGAAAUGCGUAGAGAUCUGGAGGAACACCAGUGGCGAAGGCGGCCCCCUGGUUCGAUACUGACGCUGAGGUGCGAAAGCGUGGGUAGCAAACAGG
RNAcentral lists this ribosomal RNA (253 nucleotides) under uncultured bacterium. Its description in RNAcentral is "partial 16S ribosomal RNA". It matches the Rfam family "Bacterial small subunit ribosomal RNA", at positions 524 to 776 of the family's 1533-position model. The record is from RNAcentral.